UACGUAGGGUGCAAGCGUUGUUCGGAAUCAUUGGGCGUAAAGCGAAAGUAGGCGGUUUUCUAAGUCGGAUGUGAAAUCCCUCGGCUCAACCGGGGAAGUGCAUUCGAAACUAGUUAGCUAGAAGGUGGUAGAGAAAGGUGGAAUUCCAAGUGUAGAGGUGAAAUUCGUAGAUAUUUGGAGGAAUACCAGAGGCGAAGGCGGCCUUUUGGACCAUUCUUGACGCUGAAUUUCGAAAGCGUGGGUAGCAAAC
Molecule: ribosomal RNA, 250 nt
Filed under: uncultured bacterium
Lineage: Bacteria
Description: partial 16S ribosomal RNA
Rfam family: Bacterial small subunit ribosomal RNA
Source: RNAcentral